UAGGAAUUUCUGGUUUUAGGGUU
Molecule: non-coding RNA, 23 nt
Filed under: Cricetulus griseus (Chinese hamster)
Lineage: Eukaryota; Metazoa; Chordata; Mammalia; Rodentia; Cricetidae
Source: RNAcentral